CCUACGGGUGGCAGCAGUGGGGAAUAUUGCGCAAUGGGCGAAAGCCUGACGCAGCGACGCCGCGUGAGGGAUGAAGGUCUUCGGAUCGUAAACCUCUGUCAGCAGGGAAGAACGGUCACUGUGCUAAUCAGCAGUGAAUUGACGGUACCUGCAAAGGAAGCACCGGCUAACUCCGUGCCAGCAGCCGCGGUAAUACGGAGGGUGCGAGCGUUAAUCGGAAUUACUGGGCGUAAAGCGCUCGUAGGCGGUAUGUCAAGUCAAGGGUGAAAUCCCCGCGCUCAACGUGGGAACUGCCUUUGAAACUGGCAAACUGGAGUGUGUGAGAGGAUAGUGGAAUUCCAGGUGUAGGAGUGGAAUCCGUAGAUAUCCGGAGGAACAUCAGUGGCGAAGGCGACUAUCCGGCACAUAACUGACGCUGAGGAGCGAAAGCGUGGGUAGCAAACAGGAUUAGAUACCCGGGUAGUC
This 465-nucleotide ribosomal RNA is filed under the name uncultured bacterium. RNAcentral's name for it is "partial 16S ribosomal RNA". It matches the Rfam family "Bacterial small subunit ribosomal RNA", at positions 338 to 795 of the family's 1533-position model. The record is from RNAcentral.